UACGGAGGAUGCGAGCGUUAUCCGGAUUUAUUGGGUUUAAAGGGUGCGUAGGCGGACUUUUAAGCGUGAGGUGAAAUGCCCGGGCUCAACCUGGGAACUGCCUCGCGAACUGGAGGUCUGGAAUGCCCCUGCCGUGGGAGGAAUGUGUGGUGUAGCGGUGAAAUGCAUAGAGAUCACACAGAACACCGAUUGCGAAGGCAUCUCACGAAGGGGUGAUUGACGCUGAGGCACGAAAGCGUGGGGAU
RNAcentral lists this ribosomal RNA (245 nucleotides) under uncultured Falsiporphyromonas sp. Its description in RNAcentral is "partial 16S ribosomal RNA". It matches the Rfam family "Bacterial small subunit ribosomal RNA", at positions 524 to 768 of the family's 1533-position model. The record is from RNAcentral. Lineage: Bacteria; Pseudomonadati; Bacteroidota; Bacteroidia; Bacteroidales; Porphyromonadaceae.